This 708-nucleotide ribosomal RNA is filed under the name uncultured bacterium. RNAcentral's name for it is "bacterial SSU rRNA". It matches the Rfam family "Bacterial small subunit ribosomal RNA", at positions 370 to 1073 of the family's 1533-position model. The record is from RNAcentral.
CAUGGGCGCAGCUGACGUUCGAGCCGGUGCGGGAUGAAGGCCUUCGGGUUGUAAACCGCUGUCGUAGGGGAGGAAGUGCAGGAGGGUCUCCCUCCUGUUUGACCUAUCCUAGGAGGAAGUACGGGCUAAGUUCGUGCCAGCAGCCGCGGUAAGACGAACCGUACAAACGUUACUCGGAAUUACUGGGCUUAAAGGGUGCGUAGGCUGCGCGGAAAGUCGGGUGUGAAAGCCCUCAGCUCAACUGGGGAAUUGCACUCGAAACUACCGUGCUCGAGGGAGACAGAGGUAAGCGGAACUCAAGGUGGAGCGGUGAAAUGCGUUGAUAUCUUGAGGAACACCGGUGGCGAAGGCGGCUUACUGGGUCUCUUCUGACGCUGAGGCACGAAAGCCAAGGUAGCAAACGGGAUUAGAUACCCCGGUAGUCUUGGCUGUAAACGAUGAGCACUUGUUUGAAGGGUCCUCCAUAGCCUUUCAGACGUAGCGAAAGUGUUAAGUGCUCCGCCUGGGGAGUAUGGUCGCAAGGCUGAAACUCAAAGAAAUUGACGGGGGCUCACACAAGCGGUGGAGGAUGUGGCUUAAUUCGAGGCUACGCGAAGAACCUUAUCCUAGUCUUGACAUGCUUGGAUUAACCCCAUGAAAGUGGGGGCACGCCUUCGGGUGGAACAAGCACAGGUGCUGCAUGGCUGUCGUCAGCUCGUGUCGUGAGAU